CGGGUGACACCGCCUGGAGCCGGCUUUCCAAGGCGCUAGUACCGGCGUUGCCCUACAAGAAGGGUCGCACGCCCCUCGUCCUGUCCCAUCCCGUCCUUGAAGCGCUGCGUGUGGCCCCUCGCCCCCUCCGCCCCUUCGAGGCGAGGGCUCGUUGGGGACGGGGGCGCGUUUUGGGAAGGCGGGGGGGGCUGCCUGGGGGGUACCCCCCGCCGUACGUCGGUCAGGGACCCUCAGCAGCGCGGCGUGCCCCGCAAUGAAAGGCUCUUUAACUUCCACCAUUCAUUUCCCCUUCCUGGCUACUCCUGCGAACAGGGAGCGUGUUGUGGCAGCGCACGUUUUUCCUUCUCCAAACUUAAAUUCAACCAUCUUGAAGAUGCUUCCAGGGACAGCGUCGGAUCAAGCUUUGCAUCUGAAGCGCUGACCAAUAGCAAUGGUGUGUGCACGCCAGGGAGCAGGAACACAUAACAGGUGCCUCCCACACACCAGGAAAUCAAUUGAAACGGAGAGCUCUUGAUAUUUUUAACGGAUUGGGCCCCUGGUAUGCAGAACCUUACAUAAACUCUGUCAUUUUUUUUUUUGUGAAGUGGAAAAGUUGGUUUUUGAAGGAGAAAUGUGAAAGAGCAAGAACCAUUCUGAUGAGUUACAGGGACAAGAAGACACUCACUAGAACUGGUGACUUUGAUCUUCUGAACAUGGUCAAGUGUGAAUGUAAUGAAGAGUUUACUUGCCUGACAGGCACAUUUAAAAGAAAGAAAAAAAAUAAAGUAAACCAAAAUAAAACAGUUUAAAUAAAUACUAUUUA
Molecule: long non-coding RNA, 802 nt
Organism: Cygnus atratus (black swan)
Lineage: Eukaryota; Metazoa; Chordata; Aves; Anseriformes; Anatidae
Exons: 4
Source: RefSeq, a predicted model, not a curated record